UGGCGAGUGUCAAAACCGUCAUCAAGUAAGUUUAACUAUGCUAGCGCGUACUUUGUUGUCUGCUGGUUAGCAUCAAUUUUGAUUGUCAUAAAAAGGUUAAGGGGAUGUGGCUCCUUCGGGAGUGUUAUAACCCUUGGCGGAAUGUGGCGAUUGGGAUUGAGGUUUGCAACGAAUACCUUUAGGGCAGUUCCUUCUGGUCUCUUGUUGACGUUCAGAUGGCGACAGCUUGCUGACGUUGUUUGAAUAGUUUGCGAAUAGAUUGGAAAGUGAAUUAA
This 275-nucleotide ribosomal RNA is filed under the name uncultured Entrophospora. RNAcentral describes it as "uncultured Claroideoglomus partial 28S ribosomal RNA". Lineage: Eukaryota; Fungi; Glomeromycota; Glomeromycetes; Entrophosporales; Entrophosporaceae. The record is from RNAcentral.